UUCAUAUUUGGGCUGGAUUUUUUUUUAAAUUUGUUUCGUUAUUUCUUUUUCAUAUAAUUUUUUAACUAUCUUUCACCCCCAAUUAUUCUCUUCUUUUUUCAUGAACAGUCUAUUCUAUAUUCUUUAUUUUUUGGGGCAUUUUAUCUCUAGAUCUAUUGUGUAUUGUGUUUGUCCACUAUUAAAAUAUAUACGGUAAACCCCAGGUGUGCGCGAGGUUAACAAUUUGGGUACUCAAUAUAACUAGGAG
RNAcentral lists this long non-coding RNA (247 nucleotides) under Mytilus galloprovincialis (Mediterranean mussel). The record is from RNAcentral. Lineage: Eukaryota; Metazoa; Mollusca; Bivalvia; Mytilida; Mytilidae.